AAAAAAAAAAAAUUGCUCUUGGUUAGCAUAUAGUGAAAGGUCAAGUUCUAAAUUUUUCAAAUAAUAAAAGUUAGUUUCAGUCAGAAUAAAAAUCACUUGUCUUUAAACAAAUAAGUUAGUGAACACGUCUCUGAGUACACCACUGUCAUUUCUGUUGUAUGAUUCUUAGUGUGUCUUCACAUCAACAUCAAAUUUAGUUCCACUUAGAACUAAUAUCAAGACCACUCAGAGAUGCUGUGCACUGAAGUGCAUCAAACACUGAAGCAAUUUCUGUGUUUGUGGAAAUGAGUGGGACAGUUUGGCUCAAAUUUCCUUCUAUUACAAGAGGAGACCCUCAGAGAGAGAAAUUAGCCUUCAGCAAAUUAACCAGCAAUGCCUGAUGGAUUCUAUAUUAAUUUCUCAAGGUAGGGAUGGACAUGUCAUAUCAACUAUGAUAAAGGUGCUAUAAUUUUGCCCCUAGCACUUUCUCUUUUCUUGAGUUGAGGAAAAGAAAGACAAGGGAUUUGGGGAAGUGUGAGCUAUUCUGGCAUUCGUGCCUGGCAUUCAGUGAAAGCAUCUGAAGUCACUCUAAGGAGCUUUAAGCAUCCUUGCAAGACACCGGCAACUAUCAUAAUGUUGCAAAGUGAGAUGUUUUGUAACUCCGAUGUGGCAAGUCAUGCCCCAUACCUCCCAGUUCUUUUGCAUCAGCAGGCUUGGGGAAUCCCAACAGAUGACUUGUCAUUAGCCUUGACAUCAGAGGGCAUAAGAACCUUACUUUGAUCACCAUGUUUUCUUCACCCCGACUUCCAUAUAUUAUAGCACUGUGUCUGAGAGGUUUUUAUUUUAUUUUGUAGGAACACUUACAUAAGGUCUACCCUCUUAACAAAUUCUUAAGUGUAUAAUGCACUGUUGUUAACUGUAGGUACAAUAUUGUACAGUAGAUCUCUAGAGCUUAUUUUGAGUGAGAUAUUUAUACACAUUUGAAGUUGGAUUUUGGUCUCAAGAGAUUUUUCCAGGGUUUAACAAAACAACCCAUCUCUAACUAUAAGAACUAUCUGCUUUCUUAUCUUCUUCAAAAAGAUAAUAGAGAAGCAAGCAUUAUGCUUUUCUGAAGAAGAAGUUAGUUCUUCAGCCUGAAAAGCAAAUGUCCAUGAAGGUUUUGCUCAUAUUUUAGCUUUGAAAUGGAAAUGGGAGAAAUAGCAGUAUUCUUUGGAAUAUGGCAGAAAAAUUAUUUGAGAAAAAAAUUAUUUUAAAACCAUGAAAGAAUUACAAUAGUUUAAGACCAGUAAGAAUAGCAAAUGCAAAGGCACUGUGGCAGAAGGAAACAAAGAGCAUCUGAGAAUCUAAAUACAUCCAGUAUUACCAGCACAUAGAGAGCAAAAGGAAACACAGAAUAUAAGAAUAGAUGAUGUAGGGCAAUAUAAAGGAUUCUGGGUUUUUUUCCAGAAAACAAGGGAAAUGAUAAAGCUUUCAGGAAAAAAAAGAUGUAAUAUUUGCAUUUUGAAAUGAACACGUCACUGUACUAGGGACAACAAGCUGGAGAGAACAUAACCAGAUACCAAUCAAUUGUCCAAGUAUAAAGCCUCAUAUUUGUUCUUAACUUUGAAGCCACAUGUACUCUAUGCUAUAUAACAAAUGGCCACCAACUUAGCAGCUUGAAAUAACACAUUUAUGACCUCAAAGUUUUGAUGAGUUAUGAAUCUGGGCAUGGCUUUGCAGGGUCCUCUGUUUAGAGUCUCACAAGGCUACAAGUGAGGUGUCAGUCAGGCUGAAUUUUCAUUUGGAGGCUCCAGUAGGGGAUAAUCUGCUUUCUGGUUGUUGACGGAAUGCAUUUCCUUGUUCUAUAUGACUGGGGGCACCUUAUUUUUCUGGUUGGAGACCACCCUCACAUAUUAGAAGCCCUAGGUUAUUACUUGCUACCUGGGUGUCAUCCACAGGACUAGUCACUCCAUCAAGCCCACGAGAGAAUCUCAUCUCAAGGGAACCAGUCCCUCAGGUAGAGCUUUUACCUGAUAAAGACAGGCUCACUCAAGAUAUAUCUUACUAUUAUCUUAUACUCAACUGAUUGGGGACCUUCAUUACAUCUGAAAAACCUUCACUUGGCCAUGUUCUGUCAUCUAGAAGCAAUUCUUAGCUACACUUAAUGGGGGAAGGGGUUAACAUCAAGUGUGGACACCAGGGGACAGGAGUCAUGCUGCCGCCUUAGAAUUAUGGCCACCACAGCAUCAAACACUUAAAUUUUAGUAUUAUAAACUGUUGAAAACUAGUUCCAGGUACCAAUGGGACUUUCCCACACAGAUCUUAUCUUUAUAUAUUGAUAAGAACGUUGCUGAGACAAGAUUGUUUUCCUUGAGAUAUCCAUAGCGCUUCUCCAUACUACGUACUUAUUCCAUUUCUUAUAGCAACUUACUGAGAAACGUGAAUACCCUGCAUUCCUUUGCUCUGUUUCAGUAAACUGUAAUGUCUCCUUUAGUAUUUUCUGCUUCUACUGCUACCUGCAUCUACUUUCACAUUUUUAUUUAGCUAAUAAGUGUUUUUCUCUGACAUCAUAAUCCCUCAGUACACAUACACAUUUGGCACUGAAAACAAAGAAAUAAGAGCCAAAAGAGUGGCAUUAAUUUAGUAAGUUUUCAAUACACUUGCCUAAUGUGGGAUUCCUCUCAGAAUUAUGCGCACUCAUCAUGAGUGUUAACACUGCUAACAAUGAUAUCCAGAAAAUAACCAAAAAUUUAAGAAAAUUAAAAUUUCAUGACAUUCACCUUGGAUGAUAAAAACUGUAGCCCACCUAACCCUCCAGGUAGAGCCUCCUUUCCUGUCCGCUUGCAUCUCUCACAAGGUCCUAUCUUAAUAUAUCCAUUUCUUGCCUAUCACUUUGUCUCUUGCUGAAUUCCUUCUUCAUGGAGGUAUAAAGAACCUGAACCUCAGUAAUUCCAGAAACCAGAGAUUUGAGGAAGGAGAAAAGUGGGAAAAGGCUAGAAAGACACAGACUGAAAACCACUGACACUCACAUGGGGAAGAAGUAGAUAGCCUUUCCAGUCUGUGCUGGCAGGAAAAGCUGGGGCGUAAGGCCCCACAGGAAAAGGUGCAGCUCACACCUCCACUGCUCUGAAUCCAACCAACAGGUUUCCCAACGUGUGAAUAUACGGCCUACCUCAACCCUGAAACCACUGCCAGAAAACUUUUAUGGGCUUCUUGAGGACACCAAGGAGAGAGCAAACCCCAAGUUUCUUCCCUUAUGCCUGGCUGCUUCCUUCACUUCUGGGACCAUGGAACAACAUGGACCAGGCCAUGAACAAAGACUAAAGACUAUGGAGAACACUUUGAGGUUAGAAUCCACAUUCCUUUGAUCUUUAAUGGCCAGUGCUGAGCAGAGCACAUUGCUUAUGGUUCUGGCCAAGAUCAGGAAAUAGCAAAAUAAGCCAUCAAGCAGGCAAAGUGGAUGUCCAAAUCCAUGUUCAGAUACGGGAUUAAGAUGGCAGAAUACAAGGACUGGAACUCACUUUCUCUCAUAAAAACAACAAAAUUACAACCAAAUGCUGAACAACCUUCAACCAAAUGGACUGAAAACUCUCAAAAAGAUAUCCUACUCCAGAAGAAAAAGAGGAGGCCAUAUCAAGAUUAUAGGAGGGGCGAUUAUGAGAAAUAAGCAACCCUGUGCCUACCAGGUGGGCAGCCCACAGACUGGAAAGUAACUGUAUCACAGAGACUCACCUACAGGAGUGAGAGUUCUGAGCCACAUGUUAGGUCCUCACACCUGAGGAUUUGGCAAUGAGAGAAAGAGCCCCAGAGCACCUGGUGUUGAAGACCAGUGGUGUGGGGCUUAUGUGCAGGAGCUCCAUGGGACUGGGAGAAACAGAGACCCCAUACUUGAAAGGUGCACACAGGCUUUCAUGUGCACUGGGUCCCCAGGGAAAAGCAGAGACUCAACAGGAAUCUGGGUCAGGCCUGACUGCAGUUCUUGGAAGAUCUCCUGGGAAAAGAGAGGGUGACUGUGGCUCUUUGUAGGGGAAAGAAAUUGGAGGCAAAGCUCUUGGGAAUACUGAUCAGUUGUGUUCCUCUAGAGUUGGCCAUUUUGGGAAAAUGUGGCCCCACCCAUCAGCACUGAGAAUCUCCAGGCCAAAUAAUAAUCCAGGUGGGAUCACAGCCCCACCUAUCAGUAAACAGGCUGCCUAAAGACCCCUCAGGCACACAUACACCUCUAAGCUUACCCAGAGAAAAAGCCCAACCCACCAGAGGGAUAAUAAUCAGCCCCACCUACCACUAGGCAGGCACCAGUCCCUCUCAUCAAGGAAGACUACAGCAAGCCCCCAUACCAAGUUCAGCCACAAGGGGGGCAGAUAUCAGAAGUAAGGCUACAACUCUAUUGUCUGUAAAAAGGAGACCACUCCAAAAACCUAUAAAAAUGAAAAGGCAGAGAACUAUAACUCAGAUAAAAGAGCAAGAAAAAAAAAAAAAACAGAAAAACAGAUAAGUGAUCUGGAGAUUAUCAGCCUCCAGGAAAAAGAUUUUAGACUGAUGAUGGUGAAGAUGAUGCAAGACAUUGGAAAUAAACUUGAGGCAAAGUUUGAUAAUUUACAGCAAACACUGAGCAAAAAAUAGAAGAUUUAAAACUUAAGCAAGAAGAAAUGCAAAAUACAAUAACUGGAGGAGUUCCCGUCAUGGCGCAGUGGUUAAUGAAUCCAACUAGGCACCAUGAGGUUGCAGGUUCGAUCACUGCCCUUGCUCAGUGGGUUAACAAUCCGGCGUUGCCAUGAGCUGUGGUGUAGGUUGCAGAUGCGGCUCAGAUCCCACGUUGCUGUGGCUCUGGCAUAGGCCAGUGACUACAGCUCCGAUUAGACCCCUUGCCUGGGAACCUCCAUAUGCCGUGGGCGCGGCCUAAGAAAUGGCAAAAAGACCAAAAAAAAAAUACAAUAACUGAAAUUAAAAAUUCAUUAGAAGCAACCAACAGCAGAAUACAGGAAGCAGAAGAACGAAUAAGCAAGGUGGAGGACAGACUAGUGGAAAUCACUGUUGUG
RNAcentral lists this long non-coding RNA (4994 nucleotides) under Sus scrofa (pig). RNAcentral's name for it is "lncRNA (ENSSSCG00000060548.1)". The record is from RNAcentral. Lineage: Eukaryota; Metazoa; Chordata; Mammalia; Artiodactyla; Suidae.